CAGCUAUCUGGGAUUUUAACAUAUCUAAAGAAGGAUUGUGUCAUUCCAAGCCAACUAGAUUAUUCCCGGAAUCUUGGAAAACAGGAACUGCAGAGGUCUAUGGGUUCUUGGCCCCAGACCUGGGAGAUUUAAGGUGAGGAGAGAUGGAUGCUCUGGGAUGUGUUAAUUCAACCUACUAAGCUUUCAGGUCACUGUACCUUCGACUCUCGCAGAUUCUACUGUACCUUUCCAUGGGCAGGAACCUCUCUGCUGCUUUUCUAACCACACCCAGGGGUACAGCGCAUGGUUGGACCUUCAUGGAAUAUAUGACAGCCCCUUUCCGGUUCAGUUUCCUGAUCAGCAGAAUGAUAGCUAUGCUCCCACACUCUGCAGAUAUAUUGGAAUCCCGGGCCCUUCUGCUGGAUUCCACCGUCUUGAAACUUGAGUCAGGUAUAGACACUGUACCUGCCGACUGCUGUGGCAGAGCAGGUAACUGAGGUACAGAGUUUCUACAUGACAUGGUUCAUCUGGAAGUAGUAGUGGAUCCAUUUCACCUUACAUGCUGCUUGGGGCUGUGUCU
Molecule: long non-coding RNA, 559 nt
Filed under: Neogale vison (American mink)
Lineage: Eukaryota; Metazoa; Chordata; Mammalia; Carnivora; Mustelidae
Description: Neovison vison (American mink) lncRNA (ENSNVIG00000007047.1)
Source: RNAcentral